GAGUUUGAUNCCUGGCUCAGGACGAACGCUGGCGGCAUGCCUAAUACAUGCAAGUCGAGCGGAGUUGUUUUGAAAGCUUGCUUUCAAAACAACUUAGCGGCGGACGGGUGAGUAACACGUAGGUAACCUGCCUGUAAGACUGGGAUAACUACCGGAAACGGUAGCUAAUACCGGAUAAUUUGUUUCUUCUCAUGAAGAGACACUGAAAGGCGGAGUAAUCUGCCACUUAUAGAUGGGCCUGCGGCGCAUUAGCUAGUUGGUGAGGUAACGGCUCACCAAGGCGACGAUGCGUAGCCGACCUGAGAGGGUGAACGGCCACACUGGGACUGAGACACGGCCCAUUACUCCUACGGGAGGCAGCAGUAGGGAAUCUUCCGCAAUGGACGAAAGUCUGACGGAGCAAUGCCGCGUGAGUGAUGAAGGUUUUCGGAUCGUAAAGCUCUGUUGCCAGGGAAGAACGCUUGGGAGAGUAACUGCUCUCAAGGUGACGGUACCUGAGAAGAAAGCCCCGGCUAACUACGUGCCAGCAGCCGCGGUAAUACGUAGGGGGCAAGCGUUGUCCGGAAUUAUUGGGCGUAAAGCGCGCGCAGGCGGUCAUUUAAGUCUGGUGUUUAAUCCCGGGGCUCAACCCCGGGUCGCACUGGAAACUGGAUGACUUGAGUACAGAAGAGGAGAGUGGAAUUCCACGUGUAGCGGUGAAAUGCGUAGAUAUGUGGAGGAACACCAGUGGCGAAGGCGACUCUCUGGGCUGUAACUGACGCUGAGGCGCGAAAGCGUGGGGAGCAAACAGGAUUAGAUACCCUGGUAGUCCACGCCGUAAACGAUGAGUGCUAGGUGUUAGGGGUUUCGAUACCCUUGGUGCCGAAGUUAACACAUUAAGCACUCCGCCUGGGGAGUACGGUCGCAAGACUGAAACUCAAAGGAAUUGACGGGGACCCGCACAACAGUGGAGUAUGUGGCUGUAACUGACGCUGAGGCGCGAAAGCGUGGGGAGCAAACAGGAUUAGAUACCCUGGUAGU
Molecule: ribosomal RNA, 1020 nt
Filed under: Paenibacillus macquariensis
Lineage: Bacteria; Bacillati; Bacillota; Bacilli; Caryophanales; Paenibacillaceae
Description: bacterial SSU rRNA
Rfam family: Bacterial small subunit ribosomal RNA
Source: RNAcentral